Long non-coding RNA from Sipha flava (yellow sugarcane aphid), 326 nucleotides. RefSeq lists it as uncharacterized. The transcript has 3 exons. NCBI's taxonomy places the organism in Eukaryota, Metazoa, Arthropoda, Insecta, Hemiptera, Aphididae. The record is from RefSeq and is a predicted model, not a curated record.
CCUAUAGACGUAAAACAUAGCAAAUAUGCAUUCAAUAAAACCAAGGACUAGAACCGAACCGAAAAAAACCUUAAAUUUUAAUUUUAAUGAACCUAAACCAGAACCGGAACCACGAUAAACAAAGGUUUUUUUCGGUUUUUGAUACAUUGUUAUAAUUUCAAAAUACCAAGAAAACCAAUUAUUAGCGUGUACUCACAGAUUAUUUGAGAAAAUUGAUACUAAAGAUCCUACAAAAAAUGUUAACAAAAAUCAAACAUCAUAGUUCAUAGCUUCAUAUAAAAGUGUAACAUGACUAACUGGAUAGCAAAAUUCUCACAUUUACCAAC